UUUUUUGAGAGUUUGAUCCUGGCUCAGGACGAACGCUGGCGGCGUGCCUGACACAUGCAAGUCGGACGGUUCUUGUACCUUCAAGCUUGCUUGUUGGUGCAAGGAUAGUGGCGGACGGGUGAGUAACGCGUGAACAUCUACCCAUUGGAGGGGGACAACCCGUCGAAAGGCGGGCUAAUACCGCGUAAGCCGCGAGGUGAGAGGCUGCCUAUUGGUGGCCGC
RNAcentral lists this ribosomal RNA (222 nucleotides) under Synergistales bacterium. RNAcentral describes it as "partial 16S ribosomal RNA". It matches the Rfam family "Bacterial small subunit ribosomal RNA", at positions 1 to 218 of the family's 1533-position model. Lineage: Bacteria; Thermotogati; Synergistota; Synergistia; Synergistales. RNAcentral also lists the same sequence under 1 other name. The record is from RNAcentral.